GGGGGUCUGACCCUUCCGUGCCGCAGUUAACACAAUAAGUAAUCCACCUGGGGAGUACGGCCGCAAGGUUGAAACUCAAAGGAAUUGACGGGGGCCCGCACAAGCAGUGGAGUAUGUGGUUUAAUUCGAAGCAACGCGAAGAACCUUACCAGGUCUUGACAUCGUGCGCAUUACCUAGAGAUAGGGAAGCCCUUCGGGGCGCACAGACAGGUGGUGCAUGGUUGUCGUCAGCUCGUGUCGUGAGAUGUUGGGUUGAGUCCCGCAACGAGCGCAACCCCUACGGUUAGUUGCUACGCAAGAGCACUCUAACAGGACUGCCGUUGACAAAACGGAGGAAGGUGGGGAUGACGUCAAAUCAUCAUGCCCCUUAUGACCUGGGCUACACACGUACUACAAUGGUCGUCAACAGAGGGCAGCGAAACCGCGAGGCGGAGCAAAUCUCUAAAAACGAUCUCAGUUCGGAUUGCAGGCUGAAACUCGCCUGCAUGAAGUCGGAAUUGCUAGUAAUCGAGAAUCAGCAUGUCGCGGUGAAUACGUUCCCGGGCUUUGUACACACCGCCCGUCACACCAUGAGAGUCGGAAACACCCGAAGCUGGUAGCUUAACCGCAAGGGGAGCGCCAUCGAAGGUGGGGUCGAUAAUUGGGGUGAAGUCGUAACAAGGUAGCCG
This 668-nucleotide ribosomal RNA is filed under the name uncultured bacterium. RNAcentral's name for it is "bacterial SSU rRNA". It matches the Rfam family "Bacterial small subunit ribosomal RNA", at positions 826 to 1502 of the family's 1533-position model. The record is from RNAcentral.